UGUUAGAUUGAUUCUAUCUAAUUAAAUUAAUUAUUUUUUAUAUAAUAUUAUAUACUAGUUUUAGCUUGUUGGAAUUUAUAUCUUAAUGAUUUAGAUUAUUUAUUAGUUGUAGUUGUUAAUUUUAUUUUUCAUAGGAAUAUGGAAAUAGUUAUUUUUAAGAGAAGUGUUUAAUUUUGUGCCAGCAGAUGCGGUUAUACAAUUGCUUCAAGUUAAUUUUUUUGGUUAAUAUUUAUUUUUAUUAUUGAGAUAUUAUUUAUUAUUUUUAGGUGAAAUUUUGAUAAUAAUUUUUCUUUGGUUUAAGAUUUUAAUAUGAAAAUUAAAUUAAAAACUAGGAUUAGAUACCCUAUUAUUUUAAUUGUAAAUUUUAUUUCCAUAGUAGUAUUAGUUAAGAUCUUGAAAUUAAAAGAAUUUGGCGGUAAUUUAGUCUUUUCAGAGGAACCUGUUCUUUAAUUGAUAAUCCACGUUGGAUUUUACCUUAAUUAUUUGUUUGUAUAUCUCUGUCAUUGAAUGUUUUAUUAGAAUAUUUUCUUUAAUUAUUGAUUUAGAAAAUGUCAGGUCAAGGUGCAGCUAUAUUAGGGGUUGUAAUGGGUUACAUUUAAUGUUAUUUAUUGGAUUUUAAUCUUGGAUAAGAUUAAUAAAAUAGGAUUUGAGAGUAAUUUUUUUUAUUUUUUAAAAAUGAUUUUAGCUCUAAAUUAUGCACACAUCGCCCGUCACUUUCAUUAUUAAGAUGAAAUAAGUCGUAACAAAGUAAUUUUACUGGAAAGUGAGGUUAGAAAUAU
This 779-nucleotide non-coding RNA is filed under the name Dicranocephalus alticolus. Lineage: Eukaryota; Metazoa; Arthropoda; Insecta; Hemiptera; Stenocephalidae. The record is from RNAcentral.